GUAUUACUGAAGAGUCCCAAACUAGGAUGAAACAGCUGUCCAGUAU
This 46-nucleotide non-coding RNA is filed under the name Trichobilharzia regenti. The record is from RNAcentral. Lineage: Eukaryota; Metazoa; Platyhelminthes; Trematoda; Strigeidida; Schistosomatidae.